Molecule: ribosomal RNA, 254 nt
Filed under: uncultured bacterium
Lineage: Bacteria
Description: partial 16S ribosomal RNA
Rfam family: Bacterial small subunit ribosomal RNA
Source: RNAcentral
UACGAAGGGGGCUAGCGUUGCUCGGAAUCACUGGGCGUAAAGCGCACGUAGGCGGAUCGUUAAGUCAGGGGUGAAAUCCUGGAGCUCAACUCCAGAACUGCCUUUGAUACUGAGGAUCUUGAGUUCGGGAGAGGUGAGUGGAACUGCGAGUGUAGAGGUGAAAUUCGUAGAUAUUCGCAAGAACACCAGUGGCGAAGGCGGCUCACUGGCCCGAUACUGACGCUGAGGCACGAAAGCGUGGGGAGCAAACAGGG